Molecule: ribosomal RNA, 324 nt
Filed under: uncultured bacterium
Lineage: Bacteria
Description: bacterial SSU rRNA
Rfam family: Bacterial small subunit ribosomal RNA
Source: RNAcentral
GCAACAGAAGAAGCACCGGCUAACUCCGUGCCAGCAGCCGCGGUAAUACGGAGGGUGCGAGCGUUAAUCGGAAUUACUGGGCGUAAAGACGCAUGCAGGUGGUUUGUUAAGUUCAGAUGUGAAAGACCCGGGGCGUCAACCUCGGAACUGCAUUUGAAACUAGGCAGACUAGAGUACUGUAGAGGGGGGUAGGAAUUUCAGGUGUAGCGGUGAAAUAGCGUAGAGAUCUGAAGGAAUACCGGUGGCGAAGGCGGCCCCCUCGGACAGAUACUGACACUCAGAUGCGAAAGCGUGGGGAGCAAACAGGAUUAGAUACCCUGGUAG